GACGAACGCUGGCGGCGUGCCUAACACAUGCAAGUCGAACGGAAAGGGUCGGCAUUUGUGGGGUGCGCGAGUGGCGAACAGGUGAGUAUCACGUGAGUGACCUGCGCCUGACUGCGGGAUAACACCUGGAAACAGGGGUGAAUACAGGAUAGGAGCUCCUGCUGCACGGGGGGGGUGGGAAAGUGUCGGCGGUUCGGGAUGGACUCGUGGCUCAUCAGCGUGUUGGUGAGGUAGUGGAUUACCGGGGCGUUGAGGCGUAGCCGGAUUGAGAGUGUGACCGGGCACAAUGUGACUGAGGUACGACCCAGACGGCUACUGGGGGCAGCAGUGGGAAACAUAGCGAAAUGGGCGGAAGCCGGGUGCAACGACUUCGCGUGCGGAAUGACUGCCUUCAGGGUAGAAACCGCGUUAGCCUGGAACGCAGCGUGAGUGACGGUAAUUGGUAAAGAAGCAACGGCUAACUACGUG
This 468-nucleotide ribosomal RNA is filed under the name uncultured bacterium. Its description in RNAcentral is "partial 16S ribosomal RNA". It matches the Rfam family "Bacterial small subunit ribosomal RNA", at positions 28 to 507 of the family's 1533-position model. The record is from RNAcentral.